RNAcentral lists this ribosomal RNA (402 nucleotides) under bacterium. RNAcentral describes it as "partial 16S ribosomal RNA". It matches the Rfam family "Bacterial small subunit ribosomal RNA", at positions 355 to 776 of the family's 1533-position model. The record is from RNAcentral.
UGGGGAAUUUUGCACAAUGGGGGAAACCCUGAUGCAGCGACGCCGCGUGAUUUAGAAGGCCUUCGGGUUGUAAAAAUCUUUUCUAUGGGAAGAAAAUGACAGUACCAUAGGAAUAAGGACCGGCUAAUUACGUGCCAGCAGCCGCGGUAAUACGUAAGGUCCGAGCGUUGUCCGGAAUCAUUGGGCGUAAAGGGUACGUAGGCGGGUAAGCAAGUUAGAAGUGAAAUCCUAUAGCUCAACUAUAGUAAGCUUUUAAAACUGCUCAUCUUGAGGUAUGGAAGGGAAAGUGGAAUUCCUAGUGUAGCGGUGAAAUGCGCAGAUAUUAGGAGGAAUACCGGUGGCGAAGGCGACUUUCUGGCCAUAACCUGACGCUGGGGUACGAAAGCGUGGGUAGCAAAAAGG